Molecule: ribosomal RNA, 492 nt
Filed under: uncultured bacterium
Lineage: Bacteria
Description: partial 16S ribosomal RNA
Rfam family: Bacterial small subunit ribosomal RNA
Source: RNAcentral
AGUGAACGCUGGCGGUAGGCCUAACACAUGCAAGCCGAACGGCAGCACAGUAAGAGCUUGCUCUUACGGGUGGCGAGUGGCGGACGGGUGAGGAAUACAUCGGAAUCUACUUUUUCGUGGGGGAUAACGUAGGGAAACUUACGCUAAUACCGCAUACGACCUACGGGUGAAAGCAGGGGAUCUUCGGACCUUGCGCGAUUGAAUGAGCCGAUGUCGGAUUAGCUAGUUGGCGGGGUAAAGGCCCACCAAGGCGACGAUCCGUAGCUGGUCUGAGAGGAUGAUCAGCCACACUGGAACUGAGACACGGUCCAGACUCCUACGGGAGGCAGCAGUGGGGAAUAUUGGACAAUGGGCGCAAGCCUGAUCCAGCCAUACCGCGUGGGUGAAGAAGGCCUUCGGGUUGUAAAGCCCUUUUGUUGGGAAAGAAAAGCAGCAGGUUAAUACCCCGCUGUUCUGACGGUACCCAAAGAAUAAGCACCGGCUAACCUCGUG